Long non-coding RNA from Anolis carolinensis (green anole), 1162 nucleotides. RefSeq lists it as uncharacterized. The transcript is spliced from 2 exons. Lineage: Eukaryota; Metazoa; Chordata; Lepidosauria; Squamata; Anolidae. The record is from RefSeq and is a predicted model, not a curated record.
UCCAGGACUUCAGCUCCCACAAUUCCUAAUGACUGACUCCUCCUCGGCCAGAGAGGAAGAGAAGGAGGGGAAGCAGUGAUGAUGGCGUUGGCUCCCUCCUCCCCCUUUCCCUUCUCCUUCGUCAGCCGCUCUCCUGGUUGCCUUCCCUUCCUACCUCGCCUGGCCUCUUCCAGAUUAUUGAUCAUGGAUAGACAGAGGAGACUGAAGCUACAAUAAGCCCAGCUGCAAGAGAAGCCUUUUUGAGAAAGGCUACAAGAGACUCAAGAACCAAAUGUCUUAAUCAAGUCAAAUCUAAACGAGAGACUAUGUUUAAGAAAGGCUGAUCAAGGGGUCUAAUCAGAACAAUGGAGCCUGCAGCCCUCCUACCUACAAUAAAGAGGUUCAAGCUGGAAGAAAGAUAAUGAUAAAGACACAGACUGAUCCAUAUUCUAAGAAAUACAAUGAAGAAUCAAUUCACUAUGAGAAAUUUGGUACGAGCAGGGCAUUUUAUAGCAGAGAGUAAAUAGCAGCUUUGAAAGACUUCAUUAAAAAUAAAAGUUUUCAGGACAGGUAUGAAAGAAGAAAGGAAAAGGGAAAUAAAGGGGCAAUCUAUCCAGAGAUCUAAUAGUGAAGUAAACAUGGUGUUUAAAUUUAUUUAUUUUAAAUGAGUUCUGUUCAAUUUUUUUAGGGUCAAGAUUGGGAAGAAAACCCAAUAUCAAAUAUAAAUAUUUUCAGGUGAUCAAAGAACUGGAUUCAUUUGUCUUAUAAAUAAGAGGCAUGUAUUUGGUUCCUUGAGGUGGGAGGUCUGGUUUCUCUCAGGAUGUUUCAGGGUCAUAUUAAAUUUAAAGAGAAAGUUAGGUAAAUGCUACAUGCUACUAUAUACAUACACACACACACAUAUAGGGCAGAGAUUUAAUGUAAUAUAAUAACAUAUAUAUGUAUGGCUGACGAUCACUGCUUUUAUAUAUACAUUUGGUGGAUAUGUAAGUUGGAGAAGCAAUAUGAAGAUAAAAUAUUGAUUGUAAAGUGAUAUGUUGGAGAAAAGAUGGUAAGGCUGCUGUGUUAUAAAGAAAUAAUAACUCAUUAUUCACGAUACUUUUAUCUUUUUCUCUCCUUUCUGUUAAAUGGGGAAUUCUUGAUUGUGUUGUCCUUUUUUAGCAAAUAAAUUUAAUGUAAAUUCAAA